Haemorhous mexicanus (house finch) is the source of this 823-nucleotide long non-coding RNA. RefSeq lists it as uncharacterized. NCBI's taxonomy places the organism in Eukaryota, Metazoa, Chordata, Aves, Passeriformes, Fringillidae. The record is from RefSeq and is a predicted model, not a curated record. The transcript is spliced from 2 exons.
AUGACAUAGAGCAAUGGGGAAGUGCUACAGAAACCUCCUGCCUCAGCUUACACUUGAAGCCCCAAGACUGUGCCCAUCCUCUGUCAUUUGAGGAAGUUAUGACCUCCCAGCAAUGCUGUCACGGCCCAGGGUGUCCCAUGCAUUGCUCUGUCAGCUCUACUUGGUGUCAGCAUUGUGGGACAAACCAUCAAAGUCAUCUGCUCCAGGGAUGGCAGCAGCUGCGACCAGUACCAGCCUAAGUUUCCUGGCUGUGGGAUCUGCUACAAGGACUUGGGACCACCAGACAUCCCUUUGGGAUUCUCCAGAUGCCAGCCUGGCUCCAUGAGCACAGUAGCUUUCUCUGGGGUCCAAGGCCAGGACAAGGCUGUCUGUUAAUGUGGUAACUACCAAAAUGGCAGUGAUGAUGUUACCAUGGUGAAACAGAACAAUGGGGAUGGGAUACAAAGUCUUCCUGCCAUGGCAGGGGCCUGUUAGGAGCCUCUGUUGUCCCUGUUUGGUGGGGCAGGUCCCUGGCACAACCCUGCCUUUUUCGGCCCUGUGGUGAAUGUGGCUGUUCCCAGUGACACAGCUCCAUCCUUACAGCCCUUUCCUUGUCAUUUGUGGAUGAGAGCAGAUAGGAUAGAACAGAACAGACCAUUUCAGAUGGAAGAUGCCUUCAAUGAUCGCACAGUCCAACUGCGUGGCCACUUCAGGGAUGACAAAAAUGUAGGGCAUUGUCCAAGUGCCUGUAUAACACUUGCAGGCCUGGGAUAUCAUCCAGCUCUCUAGGAAACCUGUCCAGUGUUUGCCCAGAUUCUCAAUAAAGAAAUGCUGGGAUAACCUC